Lepus europaeus (European hare) is the source of this 629-nucleotide long non-coding RNA. RefSeq lists it as uncharacterized. The transcript is spliced from 4 exons. Lineage: Eukaryota; Metazoa; Chordata; Mammalia; Lagomorpha; Leporidae. The record is from RefSeq and is a predicted model, not a curated record.
CCUGUGCCAUCCUGAUCACUUCCCCCGUCUCCAUCACAGAACUGGGCUGAGGAUCCCAUGAGGAAGGAGGGACCCAGGAGAUGUGUAUAGGAAAAAAUUAGAAGAGGUAAUGGAAGAAAGAGCCUUUUGAUAUUAUUGAAGCCAAGUGGGAGAGAACUGGAAAACCAUCGCACGGCUCAUACUCCAAGCCCUGGGAGAGAAGCCAUAUAUUGGAGCUCAGUUACAUUUGUGGAAUCAAUGAAGGAGCAAGCCCGUGUGUAACCUCUGUCUCGAAGGAUACAGAGCCAAAUAUCUGAUUCCUGUGCCCAAGGAGCAUGAAGGGCCGGCUGGCAUUGUGGCAUAGUGUGUUAAAAUGCCACCUGCAACACUGUCAUCCCAUGUGAGUGCUGGUUCGAGUCCCGGCUGUUCCACUUCUGAUCCAGCUCUCUGCUAUGGCCUGGGAAAGCAGUAGAAGAUGGCCCAAGUGCUUGGGACCCUGCACCCACGUGGGAGACCUGGAAGACGCUCCUGGCUCCUGGCUUUGGCCUGGCCCAACCUGGGUAUUGCAACCAUUUGGGAAGUGAACCAGUAGAUGAAAAGACCUCUCUCUGUUUCUGCCUCACUCUGUAACUCUGCCUUUCAACUAAAUA